RNAcentral lists this ribosomal RNA (505 nucleotides) under uncultured bacterium. RNAcentral's name for it is "bacterial SSU rRNA". It matches the Rfam family "Bacterial small subunit ribosomal RNA", at positions 38 to 535 of the family's 1533-position model. The record is from RNAcentral.
GGCCGACUGCCUAACACAUGCAAGUCGAGCGGUAACAGGUGUAGCAAUACAUGCUGACGAGCGGCGAACGGGUGAGUAAUGCUUCGGAAUCUGCCCAAUGGUGGGGAAUAACUAGCCGAAAGGUUAGCUAAUACCGCAUGAGCCCUACGGGGGAAAGCAGGGGAUCGUAAGACCUUGCGCCGAUGGAUGAGCCGAAGCCGGAUUAGCUAGUUGGUAGGGUAACGGCCUACCAAGGCGACGAUCCGUAGCUGGUCUGAGAGGACGACCAGCCACACUGGGACUAAGACACGGCCCAGACUCCUACGGGAGGCAGCAGUGGGGAAUAUUGGACAAUGGGGGAAACCCUGAUCCAGCGACGCCGCGUGUGUGAAGAAGGCCUGCGGGUUGUAAAGCACUUUUAGUGGGGAUGAAAAGCUCAGGGCUAAUACCUCUGGGUCUUGACCUAACCCACAGAAAAAGCACCGGCUAACUCUGUGCCAGCAGCCGCGGUAAUAACCUAAAUAGC